AAACCCUUUUUUGGGAAUCCAAGGUAGAAAAUUUUGAUUUUUCUUCCUCCUUUCGCUUAUGCUAUCUUCGACGUCUCAACCCCGCUGAUCGCCACGUUCAUCAUACGUGGAGCUUGCCCCAUCGUCCUUGCCAUCAUCCAUCGCGAUUCGCUAGAGUGGCCAUCAUUCAUCGGAGUCCUCUCAUAUUCAUUGGCGUGCGUGCGAUGCAGCCAUGGAUGCGGCGGCACGACAUCGCUGUGGACUGUACAGCGGCGACUGGGCGAGCACAGCCAUCGGCCUGGCCUCUGCAACUCCAGGAGACCAAAACGCAAAGCAGCAGCCGAGUAGCAAGGAACGAGCCAUCCUCCAAUCGAAAGCUAAACUAGCAGCUGGACUGCAGUUAGCUAGCUCAGGCAUUUUGAAAUCUUUCACCAGUACGUGCCCAGCCAAAGGAAGGGAAGCCUAACAUGGCCAAAGAUAUGCUUGUGUGGAGCUUUGUGAUCAUGUCCAGUCGGUGAGCUUUACGUGGUGAUCAAGAAACAGAUCAUUGAAGGUUUGGAACUAAAAGAAGGAUCUGAGUUUUAA
This is a long non-coding RNA of Sorghum bicolor (sorghum), 564 nucleotides long. RefSeq lists it as uncharacterized. The record is from RefSeq and is a predicted model, not a curated record. Lineage: Eukaryota; Viridiplantae; Streptophyta; Magnoliopsida; Poales; Poaceae. The transcript has 3 exons.